Schistosoma curassoni is the source of this 45-nucleotide non-coding RNA. The record is from Rfam. NCBI's taxonomy places the organism in Eukaryota, Metazoa, Platyhelminthes, Trematoda, Strigeidida, Schistosomatidae.
GUCCAGCUGACGAGUCCUAAAUAGGACGAAACGCACAUCCUAGAU